Molecule: ribosomal RNA, 726 nt
Filed under: Gambierdiscus excentricus
Lineage: Eukaryota; Dinophyceae; Gonyaulacales; Pyrocystaceae
Description: LSU rRNA
Rfam family: Eukaryotic large subunit ribosomal RNA
Source: RNAcentral
AACUGCUGCACAAGGAGUGUUCGAUUGGACUCCUUUUCACACAAUGAACAACCAGCUUAGAACUGAUGCGGGCAAGGGGAAUCCGACUGUUUAAUUGAAACAAAGUAUUGCGAUGCCCUGAAAGGAUGUUGACACAAUGUGAUUUCUGCCCAGUGCUCUGAAUGUCAAAGUGAGGAGAUUCAACUAAGCGCGGGUAAACGGCGGGAGUAACUAUGACUCUCUUAAGGUAGCCAAAUGCCUCGUCAUCCAAUUAGUGACGCGCAUGAAUGGAUUAAUGAGAUUCCUACUGUCCCAAUCUNCUGUCCAGCGAAACCACAGCCAAGGGAACGGGCUUGGGUGAGUCAGCGGGGAAAGAAGACCCUGUUGAGCUUGACUCUAAUCCGACUUUGUGAAAUGACUUAGGAGGAGUAGGAUAUGUGGGAGCUCAGGUGAUCUUGAAAUACCACUACUUUUAAUGUCACUUUACUUACUCUAUCCAACUGUGCCCUGCCUCACAGCAGGUUUUUGCUUUUAAGGUUGCUCUUUUGGCGUGUUGAUUUGCGUAGAAGACGUCGUCCGGUGGGGAGUUUGGCUGGGGCGGCACAUCUGUUAAAGGAUAANGCAGGUGUCCUAAGGUGAGCUCAAUGAGAACAGAAAUCUCAUGCGGAUCAAAAGGGGAAACGCUUGCUUGAUUUUGCUUUUCAGUGUGAAGAUAAACUGUGCAAACAUGGCCUAUUGAUCCUUUAG